Molecule: long non-coding RNA, 450 nt
Organism: Limanda limanda (common dab)
Lineage: Eukaryota; Metazoa; Chordata; Actinopteri; Pleuronectiformes; Pleuronectidae
Exons: 3
Source: RefSeq, a predicted model, not a curated record
CCCCCACACACACACACACACGCACACACACACACAAACAAAGAGGCGUUAGGCUGAGACGCUGAAAGUCCGGAUUUAAAGUGCAGAAAAUGAAGCCAUUGAAUCUGCCUGUCCAUGACGUACAAAGACACACUAUGAGCCAGUAUGAUCCGACCAGACCUUACAUCAGCAUUGAGGAGUUGUCGGAGAAGAAAGAGGCUGAUUGAAGCGGGACAGAUGACAUGGAUCCAUCCUUCCACAGCCAGGAGCGCACCGACCUGUGUCCCACACUUCAUAUAAGACUGGAAGCUACACUGAUCUCACAGCUACACACCACAGACGUCUACACACUGGAGAAGAGUCCCACAAAGAAGUCAUGACCCAGAGGCUGCAGAGAAACAUUUCAAGCCUCAUCUGAGUUUUUGUACAAUAUUUUUGCUGUAUGUAAAUAAAGCUUUCACUCCACAUAUA